This 226-nucleotide ribosomal RNA is filed under the name uncultured bacterium. RNAcentral's name for it is "partial 16S ribosomal RNA". It matches the Rfam family "Bacterial small subunit ribosomal RNA", at positions 126 to 334 of the family's 1533-position model. The record is from RNAcentral.
CUGCCUUUAAGCCUGGGAUAACCAGAGGAAACUCUGGCUAAUACCGGAUAAGCUCACAGUUUCGCUUAGGGAACAGUGAGAAAAGAAUGCCUCUCCUUGGAAGCAUUCACUUUUAGAGGAGCCCGCGUCUCAUUAGCUUGUUGGUAAGGUAACGGCUUACCAAGGCGACGAUGGGUAGCUGGUCUGAGAGGAUGAUCAGCCACACUGGAACUGAAACACGGUCCAG